This 468-nucleotide ribosomal RNA is filed under the name uncultured bacterium. RNAcentral describes it as "partial 16S ribosomal RNA". It matches the Rfam family "Bacterial small subunit ribosomal RNA", at positions 28 to 507 of the family's 1533-position model. The record is from RNAcentral.
GACGAACGCUGGCGGCGUGCUUAACACAUGCAAGUCGAACGGAAAGGCGCGGCUCUUGUGGGGUGCUCGAGUGGCGAACGGGUGAGUAACACGUGAGUAACAUGCCCUUGACUUUGGGAUAACUUCAGGAAACUGGGGCGAAUACCGGAUAGGAGCUCCUGCUGCAUGGUGGGGGUUGGAAAGUUUCGGCGGUUGGGGCUGGACUCGCGGGUUAUGAGCUUGCUGGUGGGGUAGUGGCUUACAAAGGCUUUGACGGGUAGCCGGCCUGAGAGGGUGACCGGCCACCUUGGGACUGAGGUACGGCCCAGUAUCGUACGGGAGGCAGAAGUGGGGAAUAUUGCGCAGUGGGGGGGAGCCUGAUGUAGCAAUGCCGCGUGCGGGAUGACGGCCUUCGGGUGGUAAACCGAUUUGUAAUGUGACGAAGCGUGCGUGACGGUAAUUGGUAAGGAAGCACCGGCUAACUACGUG